This 441-nucleotide ribosomal RNA is filed under the name uncultured bacterium. Its description in RNAcentral is "partial 16S ribosomal RNA". It matches the Rfam family "Bacterial small subunit ribosomal RNA", at positions 338 to 795 of the family's 1533-position model. The record is from RNAcentral.
CCUACGGGAGGCAGCAGUGGGGAAUAUUGGGCAAUGGGCGAAAGCCUGACCCAGCAACGCCGCGUGAAGGAAGAAGGCUUUCGGGUUGUAAACUUCUUUUGACAGGGAAGAGCAGAAGACGGUACCUGUCGAAUAAGCCACGGCUAACUACGUGCCAGCAGCCGCGGUAAUACGUAGGUGGCAAGCGUUGUCCGGAUUUACUGGGUGUAAAGGGCGUGUAGCCGGGCUGACAAGUCCGAUGUGAAACCCGGGGCUCAACCCCCGAACUGCAUUUGAAACUGUUGGUCUUGAGGAUCGGAGAGGCAGGCGGAAUUCCUAGUGUAGCGGUGAAAUGCGUAGAUAUUAGGAGGAACACCAGUGGCGAAGGCGGCCUGCUGGACGACAACUGACGGUGAGGCGCGAAAGCGUGGGGAGCAAACAGGAUUAGAUACCCUAGUAGUC